This is a small nuclear RNA of Phyllostomus discolor (pale spear-nosed bat), 191 nucleotides long. RefSeq annotates it as U2 spliceosomal RNA. Lineage: Eukaryota; Metazoa; Chordata; Mammalia; Chiroptera; Phyllostomidae. The transcript has a single exon. The record is from RefSeq and is a predicted model, not a curated record.
AUCACUUCUUGGCCUUUUGGCUAAGAUCAAGUGUAGUAUCUAUUCUUAUUGGUUUAAUAUCUGAUAUGUCCUCUAUCCACGGACAAUGUAUUAAAUGAAUUUUUGGAAUUAGGAGACGGAAUAGGGGCUUGCUCUGUCCACUCCACGCAUAGACCUGGUAUUGCAGUACUUCCAGGAAUGCUGCACCUGCA